AGAGGGUCCUGGGUUCGAUCUU
This 22-nucleotide microRNA is filed under the name Schistosoma japonicum. RNAcentral's name for it is "miRNA-3020". Lineage: Eukaryota; Metazoa; Platyhelminthes; Trematoda; Strigeidida; Schistosomatidae. The record is from RNAcentral.